AACGAACGCUGGCGGCAUGCCUAACACAUGCAAGUCGAACGAGACCUUCGGGUCUAGUGGCGCACGGGUGCGUAACGCGUGGGAACCUGCCCUUAGGUUCGGAAUAACUCCCCGAAAGGGGUGCUAAUACCGGAUAAUGUCUUCGGACCAAAGAUUUAUCGCCUUUGGAGGGGCCCGCGUUGGAUUAGCUAGUUGGUAGGGUAAAAGCCUACCAAGGCGACGAUCCAUAGCUGGUCUGAGAGGAUGAUCAGCCACACUGGGACUGGGCCACGGCCCCGACUCCUACGGGAAGCAGCAGUGGGGAAUAUUGGGCAAUGGGCGAAAGCCUGAUCCAGCAAUGCCGCGUGAGUGAUGAAGGCCUUAGGGUUGUAAAGCUCUUUUACCCGGGAUGAUAAUGACAGUACCGGGAGAAUAAGCUCCGGCUAACUCCGUG
RNAcentral lists this ribosomal RNA (433 nucleotides) under uncultured bacterium. RNAcentral describes it as "partial 16S ribosomal RNA". It matches the Rfam family "Bacterial small subunit ribosomal RNA", at positions 29 to 507 of the family's 1533-position model. The record is from RNAcentral.